RNAcentral lists this ribosomal RNA (253 nucleotides) under uncultured bacterium. RNAcentral describes it as "partial 16S ribosomal RNA". It matches the Rfam family "Bacterial small subunit ribosomal RNA", at positions 524 to 776 of the family's 1533-position model. The record is from RNAcentral.
UACGUAGGGAGCAAGCGUUGUCCGGAAUCAUUGGGCGUAAAGAGCGUGUAGGCGGCCCGGUAAGUCGGUUGUGAAAGUCAAGGGCUCAACCCUUGAAUGCCGACCGAUACUGUCGGGCUAGAGUCCGGAAGAGGCGAGUGGAAUUCCUGGUGUAGCGGUGAAAUGCGCAGAUAUCAGGAGGAACACCGAUGGCGAAGGCAGCUCGCUGGGACGGUACUGACGCUGAGACGCGAAAGCGUGGGGAGCGAACAGG